UUAAGCGACUAAGCGUACACGGUGGAUGCCCUGGCAGUCAGAGGCGAUGAAGGACGUGCUAAUCUGCGAUAAGCGUCGGUAAGGUGAUAUGAACCGUUAUAACCGGCGAUUUCCGAAUGGGGAAACCCAGUGUGUUUCGACACACUAUCAUUAACUGAAUCCAUAGGUUAAUGAGGCGAACCGGGGGAACUGAAACAUCUAAGUACCCCGAGGAAAAGAAAUCAACCGAGAUUCCCCCAGUAGCGGCGAGCGAACGGGGAGCAGCCCAGAGCCUGAAUCAGUGUGUGUGUUAGUGGAAGCGUCUGGAAAGGCGCGCGAUACAGGGUGACAGCCCCGUACACAAAAAUGCACAUGCUGUGAGCUCGAUGAGUAGGGCGGGACACGUGGUAUCCUGUCUGAAUAUGGGGGGACCAUCCUCCAAGGCUAAAUACUCCUGACUGACCGAUAGUGAACCAGUACCGUGAGGGAAAGGCGAAAAGAACCCCGGCGAGGGGAGUGAAAAAGAACCUGAAACCGUGUACGUACAAGCAGUGGGAGCACGCUUAGGCGUGUGACUGCGUACCUUUUGUAUAAUGGGUCAGCGACUUAUAUUCUGUAGCAAGGUUAACCGAAUAGGGGAGCCGAAGGGAAACCGAGUCUUAACUGGGCGUUAAGUUGCAGGGUAUAGACCCGAAACCCGGUGAUCUAGCCAUGGGCAGGUUGAAGGUUGGGUAACACUAACUGGAGGACCGAACCGACUAAUGUUGAAAAAUUAGCGGAUGACUUGUGGCUGGGGGUGAAAGGCCAAUCAAACCGGGAGAUAGCUGGUUCUCCCCGAAAGCUAUUUAGGUAGCGCCUCGUGAAUUCAUCUCCGGGGGUAGAGCACUGUUUCGGCAAGGGGGUCAUCCCGACUUACCAACCCGAUGCAAACUGCGAAUACCGGAGAAUGUUAUCACGGGAGACACACGGCGGGUGCUAACGUCCGUCGUGAAGAGGGAAACAACCCAGACCGCCAGCUAAGGUCCCAAAGUCAUGGUUAAGUGGGAAACGAUGUGGGAAGGCCCAGACAGCCAGGAUGUUGGCUUAGAAGCAGCCAUCAUUUAAAGAAAGCGUAAUAGCUCACUGGUCGAGUCGGCCUGCGCGGAAGAUGUAACGGGGCUAAACCAUGCACCGAAGCUGCGGCAGCGACGCUUAUGCGUUGUUGGGUAGGGGAGCGUUCUGUAAGCCUGUGAAGGUGUGCUGUGAGGCAUGCUGGAGGUAUCAGAAGUGCGAAUGCUGACAUAAGUAACGAUAAAGCGGGUGAAAAGCCCGCUCGCCGGAAGACCAAGGGUUCCUGUCCAACGUUAAUCGGGGCAGGGUGAGUCGACCCCUAAGGCGAGGCCGAAAGGCGUAGUCGAUGGGAAACAGGUUAAUAUUCCUGUACUUGGUGUUACUGCGAAGGGGGGACGGAGAAGGCUAUGUUGGCCGGGCGACGGUUGUCCCGGUUUAAGCGUGUAGGCUGGUUUUCCAGGCAAAUCCGGAAAAUCAAGGCUGAGGCGUGAUGACGAGGCACUACGGUGCUGAAGCAACAAAUGCCCUGCUUCCAGGAAAAGCCUCUAAGCAUCAGGUAACAUCAAAUCGUACCCCAAACCGACACAGGUGGUCAGGUAGAGAAUACCAAGGCGCUUGAGAGAACUCGGGUGAAGGAACUAGGCAAAAUGGUGCCGUAACUUCGGGAGAAGGCACGCUGAUAUGUAGGUGAAGUCCCUCGCGGAUGGAGCUGAAAUCAGUCGAAGAUACCAGCUGGCUGCAACUGUUUAUUAAAAACACAGCACUGUGCAAACACGAAAGUGGACGUAUACGGUGUGACGCCUGCCCGGUGCCGGAAGGUUAAUUGAUGGGGUCAGCGCAAGCGAAGCUCUUGAUCGAAGCCCCGGUAAACGGCGGCCGUAACUAUAACGGUCCUAAGGUAGCGAAAUUCCUUGUCGGGUAAGUUCCGACCUGCACGAAUGGCGUAAUGAUGGCCAGGCUGUCUCCACCCGAGACUCAGUGAAAUUGAACUCGCUGUGAAGAUGCAGUGUACCCGCGGCAAGACGGAAAGACCCCGUGAACCUUUACUAUAGCUUGACACUGAACAUUGAGCCUUGAUGUGUAGGAUAGGUGGGAGGCUUUGAAGUGUGGACGCCAGUCUGCAUGGAGCCGACCUUGAAAUACCACCCUUUAAUGUUUGAUGUUCUAACGUUGACCCGUGAUCCGGGUUGCGGACAGUGUCUGGUGGGUAGUUUGACUGGGGCGGUCUCCUCCUAAAGAGUAACGGAGGAGCACGAAGGUUGGCUAAUCCUGGUCGGACAUCAGGAGGUUAGUGCAAUGGCAUAAGCCAGCUUGACUGCGAGCGUGACGGCGCGAGCAGGUGCGAAAGCAGGUCAUAGUGAUCCGGUGGUUCUGAAUGGAAGGGCCAUCGCUCAACGGAUAAAAGGUACUCCGGGGAUAACAGGCUGAUACCGCCCAAGAGUUCAUAUCGACGGCGGUGUUUGGCACCUCGAUGUCGGCUCAUCACAUCCUGGGGCUGAAGUAGGUCCCAAGGGUAUGGCUGUUCGCCAUUUAAAGUGGUACGCGAGCUGGGUUUAGAACGUCGUGAGACAGUUCGGUCCCUAUCUGCCGUGGGCGCUGGAGAACUGAGGGGGGCUGCUCCUAGUACGAGAGGACCGGAGUGGACGCAUCACUGGUGUUCGGGUUGUCAUGCCAAUGGCACUGCCCGGUAGCUAAAUGCGGAAGAGAUAAGUGCUGAAAGCAUCUAAGCACGAAACUUGCCCCGAGAUGAGUUCUCCCUGACCCUUUAAGGGUCCUGAAGGAACGUUGAAGACGACGACGUUGAUAGGCCGGGUGUGUAAGCGCAGCGAUGCGUUGAGCUAACCGGUACUAAUGAACCGUGAGGCUUAACCUU
RNAcentral lists this ribosomal RNA (2902 nucleotides) under Escherichia coli. RNAcentral describes it as "bacterial LSU rRNA". It matches the Rfam family "Bacterial large subunit ribosomal RNA". The record is from RNAcentral. Lineage: Bacteria; Pseudomonadati; Pseudomonadota; Gammaproteobacteria; Enterobacterales; Enterobacteriaceae.